AUGGAAUGUACCUGUUGCUGCCAUCUCCCUAUAACAGAGGGCUAUCUCUUCGGUAUCCUCAGGAUUUGCAGCAAAAAGAACACAUGGAAAAUGAAAACGUGGAGAGGAACUGGUUUUGAAUUGGACAAGCAGAAGCAAGCAAAUGAAAGCAGCAAAAUGCUCUUGAAAGGUGAAUGGACUUUGAAGAGAAAACGUGUACAAGUGGCUGUUUUUACUCAGCAGAUCUUUUCAAAGGGUAAAAUUCUGCCUCCCCAAAAGUCAACGACAAAGCUCGCAGUGACUUCAGUCUUUUCAAACUCCUGUUUGUGUGAAGGACAUACCUGCUCACCUUUAUGAAAGAGCUGCUCUUCUUUAAACUCCUGUCACCCCAGCUGAGCUCUGGGAGAGGGAAAUGAAUUCUUCUCUGGCUCACACUUUAUCAGCAGAAUUAUUAAGCAGUUUUCUGUGCAGAGUCACUCUUGUAAUACACUCCUGCUUUUUUUUUUUUCCCCCUUUUAAAAAAAAAUCUAUUCUCAUAUUCAUGUUGGUGCUCAGGUUUCCUGGGGAUAACCAGAUAUCAUUUCACCAAACUGAAGCUGUGCACUCAUAACUGAGAGUUAUUUUGUCUUCAGAAUUUCAGCAACUCAUUCUGAUUUAUGAAAGAAUCUGGCUAAGCUUGAAGAUUCAGCUGGAGUUUACAGAGUUAUAACUCUAGUCUAGACUCAUUGAGUCAACAAUAAUAAGAAAGAAGCCAAACUGUCUUUUUAUAUCUUUUUUUGUAAACUACACAUUUUAAAGACAGAAGCACUGAACUAGAACCAGUGUGCUGCAAUCUAGUGCUGUUUGUACUGAAUAUCUUUUAGAAGGGGGUUGCAUUUAAAUAGACACCAAGAGGAAAUGAGUAUUCCAGUAGUCACCCUCAAACGUAGAAACAUCCAUAGCCACAUUCAUUGGCAUUUACUGACAUCUACACCCCUGCAAGCAGACAACCAUGGUGCAGAGAAUGCCAGAACUUUCCAUGGGAAAUUACUGAGCUGGAUGGGAUUUUAUACGAGCACGUAGAGUGGGGCUGAAUGCUUUGCCUCAAAUAUCUGUCAAAAGUCAUGCAGCAGAAUGUAAUAUCUUGAGUUUCAUUGGUGUCCAGAGCAGUCAUAGUUUGACAGGCCACUUCUUUGGAAAGUUUUACAGGGAACACUGAAAGACAAAGAAAGAAAAUUGUCGCAGCAGGCUUGCCCAAUUCAUUUUAAGCAGUCUGGUUUAGUCUCUGUGCAUUUCUUACCAUUUAAAAAGGAAAAUCAGGGAUGCCAAUAGUUCUUCAAAUGGAAACUGGUGACAAAACUGAGUUCUAAACAACACCAUCAGUAUAGAGCAACUGGUGGUUUUUAAUAUUCUUAGACAAACAACAAAACCUAAUUAUCUUUAUUUAUUCAAUAAAUCAAG
This 1419-nucleotide long non-coding RNA is filed under the name Cyanistes caeruleus (blue tit). Its description in RNAcentral is "lncRNA (ENSCCEG00000022710.1)". The record is from RNAcentral. Lineage: Eukaryota; Metazoa; Chordata; Aves; Passeriformes; Paridae.